CUUAGACUGCAGUCGAACGGAGAAUUUGUAGCAAUACGAGUUCUUAGUGGCGAAUGGGUGAGUAACACGUAGGUGACCUGCCCCGAAGUGUGGAAUAACAGUCCGAAAGGAUUGCUAAUACCGCAUGUGGUCCCGGUCUUUAGAAAACCGGGUCUAAAGCAGUAAUGCGCUUCGGGAGGGGCCUGCGGUCCAUCAGCUAGUUGGUAGGGUAACGGCCUACCAAGGCGACGACGGAUAGGGGACCUGAGAGGGUGGCCCCCCACAUUGGCACUGAAACACGGGCCAAACUCCUACGGGAGGCAGCAGUCGGGAAUAUUGGUCAAUGGGCGAAAGCCUGAACCAGCAACGCCGCGUGCACGAUGAAGGCCUUCGGGUCGUAAAGUGCUUUUUAGAGGGAUGAGGAAGGACAGUACCUCUAGAAUAAGUCACGGCUAACUACGUGCCAGCAGCCGCGGUAAAACGUAGGUGACAAGCGUUAUCCGGAAUUACUGGGCGUAAAGCGCGUGCAGGCGGCUUCGCAAGUCGGGCAUGAAAUCUCUCGGCCUAACCGAGAGACGCUGUUCGAUACUGCGGAGCUUGAGGGUAGUAAAAGGUGGCGGAAUUCCGCAUGUAGUGGUGAAAUGCGUAGAGAUGCGGAGGAACACCAGUGGCGAAGGCGGCCACCUAGGCUAUCCCUGACGCUGAAGCGCGAAAGCUAGGGUAGCGAACGGGAUUAGAAACCCCGGUAGUCCUAGCCGUAAACGAUGUUAACUAGGUGUCGGCGAUUAAAAACCGUCGGUGCCGAAGCCAACGCGUUAAGUUAACCGCCUGGGGACUACGGCCGCAAGGUUAAAACUCAAAGGAAUUGACGGGAACCCGCACAAGCAGCGGAGCGUGUGGUUUAAUUCGAGGCUACGCGAAGAACCUUACCAGGUUUGACAUGUACGUAGUAGUGAAGCGAAAGCGGAACGACCCUUCGGGAGCGUACACAGGUGAUGCAUGGCUGUCGUCAGCUCGUGCCGUGAGGUGUUUGGGUUAAGUCCACUAACGAGCGCA
Molecule: ribosomal RNA, 1035 nt
Filed under: uncultured Anaerolineaceae bacterium
Lineage: Bacteria; Bacillati; Chloroflexota; Anaerolineae; Anaerolineales; Anaerolineaceae
Description: bacterial SSU rRNA
Rfam family: Bacterial small subunit ribosomal RNA
Source: RNAcentral